This 390-nucleotide unclassified non-coding RNA is filed under the name soil metagenome. RNAcentral's name for it is "partial contains 5.8S ribosomal RNA, internal transcribed spacer 2, and large subunit ribosomal RNA". The stretch from base 5 to 121 matches the Rfam family "5.8S ribosomal RNA", at positions 40 to 154 of the family's 154-position model. The record is from RNAcentral.
GAUGAGAACGUAGCGAAAUGCGAUACUUGGUGUGAAUUGCAGAAUCCCGUGAACCAUCGAGUCUUUGAACGCAAGUUGCGCCCGAAGCCAUUAGGCCGAGGGCACGCCUGCCUGGGCGUCACACGUCGUUGCCCCCCCAUCUACUCCUUCGGGAUUGCGGGGGGCGGAUGAUGGCCUCCCGUGCGCCUCGUCGCGCGGUUGGCAUAAAUGCCAAGUCCUCGGCGACGCACGCCACGACAAUCGGUGGUUGCGAAACCUCGGUUGCCCGUCGUGUGCGGUCGUCGCGCAUCGAGGGCUCGAAAAAAUUGCCGGGCUCCGGCUCGGCUUUCAACGCGACCCCAGGUCAGGCGGGGCUACCCGCUGAGUUUAAGCAUAUCAAUAAGCGGAGGA